This is a long non-coding RNA of Pipistrellus kuhlii (Kuhl's pipistrelle), 391 nucleotides long. RefSeq lists it as uncharacterized. The transcript has 3 exons. The record is from RefSeq and is a predicted model, not a curated record. NCBI's taxonomy places the organism in Eukaryota, Metazoa, Chordata, Mammalia, Chiroptera, Vespertilionidae.
CACUAUAAUGGAAAAAUUAUGAAGAUAGCAUGAAUUUGUGCUAAAUGUAUAUAUGCUGAAUUGAAGAUAUUGUGUUUAGUGGGAAAAUCUUUAGAGAAAUCACUGAAUGAAUACAUAAUUGGAUAACCAGACUUAAUGAAUCAUUUAGGGGCAUUAAGAUGGUAUCCGGGAGUGGGAAGUUUCCUCUAUAUAGGAUAACGCAUAUCUCAUGGCUAUUCCCAAAGGGUUUAUAUAUGGUAAAAUAAGUGACUUUAGGUGGGAUAAGGAGAAAGCUCUUGGAUUUUUAUUUCUUACAACUGUUUUUAAGCUUUGAAAUGUGAAGUAUUCUUGACUUAUUUUCAAAGCAUUAGAGACAGUGAUAGCUCCCCUGCCAAUUGGCUACUAUUUUUUU